This 202-nucleotide unclassified non-coding RNA is filed under the name soil metagenome. Its description in RNAcentral is "partial contains 5.8S ribosomal RNA, internal transcribed spacer 2, and large subunit ribosomal RNA". The record is from RNAcentral.
AACCAUAGAAACCUGCGGAGUACCUGCGGAAGGAUCAUUACAUUCAGUAGCCUAGCUACUUGUUUACACCCUUGUUUUUUUGCGCACUUCAUUGUAUCCCUCGGCGGGCUUGCUCGCCGGUUGGACAACAUUUAUAACCUUUUUUAAUCUUCAAUCAGCGUCUGAAUUAUAUUUAAUAAUUACAACUUUCAGCAAUGGAUCU